This is a long non-coding RNA of Hevea brasiliensis (rubber tree), 261 nucleotides long. RefSeq lists it as uncharacterized. The transcript is spliced from 2 exons. The record is from RefSeq and is a predicted model, not a curated record. NCBI's taxonomy places the organism in Eukaryota, Viridiplantae, Streptophyta, Magnoliopsida, Malpighiales, Euphorbiaceae.
AAAGUCUCCGAAUUGGGCCGAGAUUUUGCCUACCCCCCCAUUGUCAGACGUCCCGAGCGCGUCCCCGAAGUCGGAAUCGGCAAAGGCCACAGGAGGAUAUUUUGUUCUGGGUUAACCUGCUUUUCUACCUCGCAGGUUGUUUAUCAAUAUUGUGUAAUUUUAAUUACUCCUAGAAUUUCCGCAUGUGUUAGCAGUAAUUAUUUGAAUUUGGUCUGUAAUAUUAUUAUUAUGUUGGACCUGUAAACUUAAAUAUGUUAUGCA